UACGUAGAAGACUAGUGUUAUCAUCUUAAUAGGUUAAAGGUACCUAGACGGUAUAAUUAGUCUUAACAGGAACGGUUAUACUAGAGUUAUAUAUGAGGAGGUGAGUAUUGUGAGUAGAGUUGAAUUCUUGAUACCAUGAAGACUGGUAAGGCGAAAGCAACCUUUAUCUAAUAACUGACGUUGAGGACGAAGGCUCGGGUCGCGAACAGG
This 210-nucleotide ribosomal RNA is filed under the name uncultured bacterium. RNAcentral describes it as "partial 16S ribosomal RNA". The record is from RNAcentral.